UACAGAGGUCUCAAGCGUUGUUCGGAUUCAUUGGGCGUAAAGGGUGCGUAGGUGGCGCCGUAAGUCGGGUGUGAAAUUUCGGAGCUUAACUCCGAAACUGCAUUCGAUACUGCGGUGCUUGAGGACUGGAGAGGAGACUGGAAUUUACGGUGUAGCAGUGAAAUGCGUAGAGAUCGUAAGGAAGACCAGUGGCGAAGGCGGGUCUCUGGACAGUUCCUGACACUGAGGCACGAAGGCCAGGGGAGCAAACGGG
This 253-nucleotide ribosomal RNA is filed under the name uncultured bacterium. RNAcentral's name for it is "partial 16S ribosomal RNA". It matches the Rfam family "Bacterial small subunit ribosomal RNA", at positions 524 to 776 of the family's 1533-position model. The record is from RNAcentral.